Molecule: ribosomal RNA, 301 nt
Filed under: uncultured bacterium
Lineage: Bacteria
Description: partial 16S ribosomal RNA
Rfam family: Bacterial small subunit ribosomal RNA
Source: RNAcentral
CAGUAGCCGCGGGAAUACGUAGGUGGCAAGCGUUGUCCGGAAUUAUUGGGCGUAAAGGGCUCGCAGGCGGUUUCUUAAGUCUGAUGUGAAAGCCCCCGGCUCAACCGGGGAGGGUCAUUGGAAACUGGGAAACUUGAGUGCAGAAGAGGAGAGUGGAAUUCCACGUGUAGCGGUGAAAUGCGUAGAGAUGUGGAGGAACACCAGUGGCGAAGGCGACUAUCUGGUCUGUAACUGACGCUGAGGAGCGAAAGCGUGGGGAGCGAACAGGAUUAGAUACCCCCGUAGUCCCUGUCUCUUAUAA